GAUUAACGCUGGCGGCGUGCCUGACACAUGCAAGUCGAACGAGUUCUAGUUGCCCGCAAGGGUGACUAGCGCUAGUGGCGGACGGGUGAGUAACACGUGGGCAACCUGCCUGAGAGCGCGGAAUAACCCUGCGAAAGCAGAGCUAAUACCGCAUGUGGUUGUUGUUGGCAUCUUCUAACAACUAAAGUCGCAAGACGCUCUCAGAUGGGCCCGCGGCCAUUAGCUAGUUGGUGAGGUAACGGCCCACCAAGGCAUUGAUGGGUAGCUGGUCUGAGAGGACGGACAGCCACACUGGGACUGAGACACGGCCCAGACUCCUACGGGAGGCAGCAGUGAGGAAUUUUCCGCAAUGGGCGAAAGCCUGACGGAGCAACGCCGCGUGAGGGAUGAAGUCUUUAGGGAUGUAAACCUCUGUUGGGAGGACGAAGAUCUGACGGUACCUCUGAGGAAGCCCCGGNUAACUACGUGCCAGCAGCCGCCGUAAU
Molecule: ribosomal RNA, 485 nt
Filed under: uncultured bacterium
Lineage: Bacteria
Description: bacterial SSU rRNA
Rfam family: Bacterial small subunit ribosomal RNA
Source: RNAcentral